RNAcentral lists this ribosomal RNA (1644 nucleotides) under human gut metagenome. Its description in RNAcentral is "bacterial LSU rRNA". It matches the Rfam family "Bacterial large subunit ribosomal RNA", at positions 977 to 2619 of the family's 2925-position model. The record is from RNAcentral.
GCAGCAGUAAGACUAUGGGUGAUAAGGUCCAUGGUCAAAAGGGAAACAGCCCAGACCGCCAGUUAAGGUCCCAAAAUUAUGCUAAGUGGGAAAGGAGGUGGAGUCGCUUAAACAACUAGGAGGUUGGCUCAGAAGCAGCCAUCCUUUAAAGAGUGCGUAAUAGCUCACUAGUCGAGUGGCUCUGCGCCGAAAAUGUACCGGGGCUAAACAUAUUACCGAAGUUAUGGAUUUAUAAUUUAUUAUAAAUGGUAGGGGAGCGUUCUAAGGGCGCUGAAGGUAGACCGUGAGGACUACUGGAGCGCUUAGAAGUGAGAAUGCCGGUGUGAGUAACGCUAGGAGGGUGAGAAUCCCUCCCACCAAUUGACUAAGGGUUCCAGGGUACGGUUCGUCUUCCCUGGGUUAGUCAGGACCUAAGCCGAGGCCGAAAGGCGUAGGCGAUGGACAACAGGUUUAUAUUCCUGUACUGGCUAUAUGACUGAUGGAGCGACGGAGAAAGCAAGUAAGAGCCUAUUAUUGGAUUUAGGUCUAAGCACAAAGAGUGAUGCGUAAGUAAAUCUGCGACAUUAUUAAACUUGAAGUGCGAUGGCGAAGGGUCCCACGGGAACCAAAGUCUUAUGCAGCUAUGCUUCCAAGAAAAACUUCUAAAGAUAUCAUAUAGUUACCUGUACCAAGUACCGACACAGGUGGUCAAGGAGAGUAUCCUAAGGUGAGCGAGAUAACCAUGGGUUAAGGAACUCGGCAAAAUUGCCCUGUAACUUCGGGAUAAAGGGAGGUCUCUUCGGAGACCCACAGAAAAAAGGCCCAAGCAACUGUUUACCAAAAACAUAGGUCUCUGCUAAAGCGAAAGCUGAUGUAUAGGGGCUGACGCCUGCCCAGUGCUGGAAGGUUAAGAGGAUAGGUUAGAUGGACGCAAGUCGAUAACAUCAAAGCCUUGAAUUGAAGCCCCAGUGAACGGCGGCCGUAACUAUAACGGUCCUAAGGUAGCGAAAUUCCUUGUCAGGUAAGUUCUGACCCGCACGAAAGGCGUAAUGAUUUGGGCGCUGUCUCAACCAUGGACUCGGUGAAAUCUUAAUACCUGUGAAAAUGCAGGUUACCCGCGACAGGACGGAAAGACCCCAUGGAGCUUUACUGUAGCUUGAUAUUGUGAUCAGGUAAUGUAUGUAGAGGAUAGGUGGUAGACUAUGAAGUAUGGACGCUAGUUCAUGCAGAGUCGCCCUUGGAAUACCACCCUUACGUUGCUUGAUUACUAACUUAUUCCCGUGAUCCGGGAAGAGGACAGUGUCUGGUGGGCAGUUUGACUGGGGCGGUCGCCUCCCAAAAAGUAACGGAGGCGCCCAAAGGUUCCCUCAGAUUGGUCGGAAAUCAAUCGAAGAGUGUAUUGGUAUAAGGGAGCUUAACUGUGAGACUUACAAGUCGAGCAGAUGCGAAAGCAGGGCAAAGUGAUCAGGCGGUAGAGAAUGGAAUUGCCGUCGCUUAACGGAUAAAAGUUACCCUGGGGAUAACAGGCUGAUACCACCCAAUAGUUCAUAUAGACGGUGGUGAUUGGCACCUCGAUGUCGGCUCGUCACAUCCUGGAGGUGGAUUCGCUUCCAAGGGUUGGGCUGUUCGCCCAUUAAAGUGGCACGCGAGCUGGGUUCAGAACGU